RNAcentral lists this long non-coding RNA (1504 nucleotides) under Bos taurus (domestic cattle). RNAcentral describes it as "long non-coding RNA NONBTAT028723". Lineage: Eukaryota; Metazoa; Chordata; Mammalia; Artiodactyla; Bovidae. The record is from RNAcentral.
AGCUACUGAACUGAACUGAACUGAAGUACACAACAGCACAGUUUCUUUAUUCAUUUUUACCUAUCUGGCAACUCUUUUUAAAUAUUGUCUUUACCCUUCUCUCCAAACUGUUAAUGCAUCAUGUUUUCAAAUAUGAAAAUAAUCACAUUUUUAAACCGAACUCUGAGUGUGUCUAAGGUUUCAGCAAGCCUUGAGGUCUUGGCUUCAUUUUCUGACUUCUCAGACUCAGUGACUCUUACUCACACUUGAUCUUAGCCAAAAGGCCGAGAAGCGAUCAGUGACUCUUACUCAAACUUCAUUGAUUUCUUUUCACCCACUGUCACAAAUAAAUUUCUCUAGAACCAUUUCUGCCACUUCCCUUGAAAAACUAUAAAAUUAUUAAUAACAUUUAAUAACAUCCAUUUAACAAGUAUUUUUCCAAAGACAAAUCUCAACUGCCUGUGUAUAUACUGUUGCAAUAAUUUACAGGUGAGAUGAUAAACCAUUUCCCAGCAAGGAGAUGAGAUCAUGGAAUCACAAACCUUUAUAUCAGGGAUAAGCUGGCCCCUUUGCACACAUGGUCAGAUUCUGAGGGGUAUACACUGUCCUGGCAGAAGAUGGCACGAGAUAAGUUCUGCUUCUGUUAGAGAGGUUUCACAUUCUUAAUAACUGACUAUUCAGGCAGGAAAGACAUUUUCUGUGGGAACCAGGGGCACCUCAUAAUCCUUUUAAGCUACUUUGGUGAUUGCAAACAUCCCUUUUCCACGUUUCCCAUCCUAAGCCCCUUUGGGGGCUUUUCAUAUUGUGUUUGAGUGAACCUACUGAAACUCAUGGAAAGCAGAGUGUUCAUGUUUUUGACAAGAAACAAGACAGCUGACAACUAUGAGACGAUGCUGAGUAGCAUUGCAGUAUGGUGGGUCCCUUUCUACGUGCAGUCAUUGGAAGUUUGCUACGAUUCAUGCAGUCUGAAAUAAUAGGUCUCGAAACAUUUCUGUGACAUGCCCUAGAUUACAUUCCAAGGAACUCUGGGUAUAAUAAGCCCUUUGAGAGGCAGCAAAACCCCGCUGGCUUUACAGCUUCAGAACCUCAUUUCCCAGAGCCCUUUCCAUCCUCCCUUAGCCUUUAGCCACAUUCUGGAACUACCAACUUUGAGAAAGUGCAGGUAACUAAGGUAGUGGAAACUACUCUGUCCACAAGGCUGUGCAGCUAUGACCAUGCACCAGAAAGACUUCUGGGUAAUGUAGCUUCCUCUGCCAACACUACCUACCAACACUUGGAGAGUAAGUCACUUCCUACUGGACCUGUAAAAGCCAAGAGGCACCCUCAGGGACACCAGGAAAAGAGUUCCCUGCUCCAGCCAUGGGAGGGCCUUCGGUUACUCUUAAGUGGGAUGCUCCUAAAUUUGUAGAGUCUUGGAAAAGCCCACAAAGCUUAGGGACCUGUAAUUUCAGAUAGCAAUAUAUUUGUAAUAGUGGUAAAGAACCCGCCAGUCAAUGCAGGAGACAUAAGAGAAGCAGGUUCGAUC